GUAGGUGGGGGUCUAUGGUGGUGUAGAGAUGGUAGGUGGUGGUGUAGAGAUGGUAGGUGGUGGUCUGUGGUGGUGUAGAGAUGGUCUGUGGUGGUGUAGAGAUGGUAGGUGAAGGGUCUGUGGUGGUGCAGAGAUGGUAGGUGGUGGUCUGUGGUGGUGUAGAGAUGGUAGGUGGUGGUCUGUGGUGGUGUAGAGAUGGUAGGUGGGGUCUGUGGUGCUGUAGAGAUGUUAGGUGGGGGUCUGUGGUGGUGUAGAGAUGGUAGUUGGGGGUCUGUGGUGGUGUAGAGAUGGAAGGUGGUGGAGUAGAGAUGGUAGGUGGUGGUCUGUGGUGGUGUAGAGAUUUUAGGUGGUGGUCUGUGGUGGUGUAGAGAUGGUCUGUGGGGGUCUGUGGUGGUGUAGAGAUGGUCUGUGUAUGUCUGUGGUGGUGUAGAGAUGGUAGGUGGUGGUGUAGAGAUGGUAGGUGGUGG
Molecule: long non-coding RNA, 467 nt
Filed under: Salmo salar (Atlantic salmon)
Lineage: Eukaryota; Metazoa; Chordata; Actinopteri; Salmoniformes; Salmonidae
Description: lncRNA (ENSSSAG00000099027.1)
Source: RNAcentral